CCCUUAGACACUCUAGGCGGCACGCGCGCUACAAUGGGUGGAAGAACGUGUUACUGCCUCCGAAAGGAGGGGUGAAUCACGAAUUCUUGCCCGUGAAUGGGAUAGUUUGUUGCAAUUUUCGGACUAGAACUAGGAAUCCCUUGUAAACAUGCUCAAGAAUAGCGUGUUGAAUACGUCCCUGCCGUUUGUACACACCGCCCGUCGUUUCUUCCGACUGAUACUCAUUGUGAGUUGCAAGGACCCUUUAUUGGGAAAUUGCUGCAAAUGCUUUGUAUUGGAGGAAGAAAAAGUCGUAACA
Molecule: ribosomal RNA, 298 nt
Filed under: uncultured eukaryote
Lineage: Eukaryota
Description: partial 18S ribosomal RNA
Rfam family: Eukaryotic small subunit ribosomal RNA
Source: RNAcentral